This 1400-nucleotide ribosomal RNA is filed under the name uncultured bacterium. Its description in RNAcentral is "bacterial SSU rRNA". It matches the Rfam family "Bacterial small subunit ribosomal RNA". The record is from RNAcentral.
UUAGAGUUUGAUCCUGGCUCAGGAUGAACGCUAGCUACAGGCUUAACACAUGCAAGUCGAGGGGCAGCAUGAGAUUAGCUUGCUAAUCUUGAUGGCGGCCGGCGCACGGGUGAGUAACGCGUAUCCAACCUUCCCUUUACUCUGGGAUAGCCCGGUGAAAACCGGAUUAACACCGGAUGGUUUCACAUGACGGCAUCAGACUGUGAAUAAAGGUUACGGUAAAGGAUGGGGAUGCGUCUGAUUAGCUUGUUGGCGGGGUAACGGCCCACCAAGGCAACGAUCAGUAGGGGUUCUGAGAGGAAGGUCCCCCACAUUGGAACUGAGACACGGUCCAAACUCCUACGGGAGGCAGCAGUGAGGAAUAUUGGUCAAUGGUCGGAAGACUGAACCAGCCAUGCCGCGUGAAGGAAUAAGGUCCUAUGGAUCGUAAACUUCUUUUGUGCGGGAGCAAUAAGGGCCACGUGUGGUCCGAUGAGAGUACCGUACGAAUAAGCAUCGGCUAACUCCGUGCCAGCAGCCGCGGUAAUACGGAGGAUGCGAGCGUUAUCCGGAUUUAUUGGGUUUAAAGGGUGCGUAGGCUGUUUGGCAAGUCAGGGGUGAAAUACCGGAGCUUAACUUCGGAACUGCCUUUGAUACUGUCAGGCUUGAAUUCGGAUGCCGUGGGAGGAAUGAGUAGUGUAGCGGUGAAAUGCAUAGAUAUUACUCAGAACACCGAUUGCGAAGGCAUCUCACGAAUCCGACAUUGACGCUGAGGCACGAAAGCGUGGGGAUCAAACAGGAUUAGAUACCCUGGUAGUCCACGCAGUAAACGAUGAUAACUAACCGUCGGGGAUAGACAGUCGGUGGGCCAAGCGAAAGCGAUAAGUUAUCCACCUGGGGAGUACGACCGCAAGGUUGAAACUCAAAGGAAUUGACGGGGGCCCGCACAAGCGGAGGAACAUGUGGUUUAAUUCGAUGAUACGCGAGGAACCUUACCCGGGCUCGAACGGCUGGUGAACGACACAGAGAUGUGAAGGUCCUUCGGGACGCCAGUCGAGGUGCUGCAUGGUUGUCGUCAGCUCGUGCCGUGAGGUGUCGGCUCAAGUGCCAUAACGAGCGCAACCCUUGUCACUAGUUACCAGCAUGUCAUGAUGGGGACUCUAGUGAGACUGCCGGUGAUAAAUCGGAGGAAGGUGGGGACGACGUCAAAUCAUCAUGCCCCUUAUGUCUUGGGCUACACACGUACUACAAUGGCUGUUACAGAAGGAUGCGAAAGAGCAAUCUGGAGCCAAUCCCCAAAGGCAGUCUCAGUUCGGAUUGUGGGCUGCAACCCGCCCACAUGAAGUCGGAAUUGCUAGUAAUUGCAGGUCAGCAUACUGCAGUGAAUACGUUCCCGGGUCUUGCACACACCGCCCGUCAAG